Molecule: transfer RNA, 18 nt
Filed under: Parasteatoda cingulata
Lineage: Eukaryota; Metazoa; Arthropoda; Arachnida; Araneae; Theridiidae
Description: tRNA-Cys
Source: RNAcentral
AUACUUCUAUUUAGUUUA